AUUGAACGCUGGCGGCAGGCCUAACACAUGCAAGUCGAGCGAGCGGCGGACGGGUGAGUAAUGUAUGGGGAUCUGCCCGAUGGAGGGGGAUAACUACUGGAAACGGUGGCUAAUACCGCAUACCAUCGGAUGAGCCCAGAUGGGAUUAGCUAGUAGGUGGGGUAAAGGCUCACCUAGGCGACGAUCUCUAGCUGGUCUGAGAGGAUGACCAGCCACACUGGGACUGAGACACGGCCCAGACUCCUACGGGAGGCAGCAGUGGGGAAUAUUGCACAAUGGGCGCAAGCCUGAUGCAGCCAUGCCGCGUGUAUGAAGAAGGCCUUAGGGUUGUAAAGUACUUUCAGCGGGGAGGCGUUACCCGCAGAAGAAGCACCGGCUAACUCCGUGCCAGCCGCCGCGGUAAUUC
This 406-nucleotide ribosomal RNA is filed under the name uncultured bacterium. Its description in RNAcentral is "partial 16S ribosomal RNA". It matches the Rfam family "Bacterial small subunit ribosomal RNA", at positions 30 to 526 of the family's 1533-position model. The record is from RNAcentral.